AAGGAAAAAUGCAACAAUAGAAGAGAACGAUGUUGCGACCGUCAAUCAAACUGGCAAAGAGAGAAGAAAGGGAUGAACAGAACGAAGAAAGAGAGAUACAACGAGCAAAUGAGGGGGAAUUUGUUCCCACCGUCAUCACUGCUGCAGUUAUUGUUGUCGUCGCCACCGCCAGAACGGGCUAAAGCCUCACCUUUGCUUCAGUUCUUCACCCACUUGUGCCUCGGCUUCCUAUGCUCCACUGUCAUUGUUGCUAGUGAUGGUGGCAGAAAUGGGAUAUGCUUGUAGAAAAAGUCUUCGUUGGAGCAAUCAAUGAAUAAAUGUUUCAUAGAGAAAAAAUGGUUACGCCGUUUGAGAUAGAGAGAGAGUGUGUGUGUGUUUCAAAUUAUGGAAAUUAGG
Molecule: long non-coding RNA, 396 nt
Filed under: Arachis ipaensis
Lineage: Eukaryota; Viridiplantae; Streptophyta; Magnoliopsida; Fabales; Fabaceae
Description: long non-coding RNA (AIPA_LNC002184)
Source: RNAcentral